GUCACAUUGUGCUUAGACAUUCUCAGUUUGUGAAAAAUUUUGAGGUUCAUGAACCCCCUGAGAAGCCCACCUUGGAAAUGAAGAUGUCUAUUGAGAGAGAAAAUGGUCUCAUAUUUCAGAAAAUACUCAAACAAUAGGAGAACUAAAAACAACAACAAGAAAGUAAACCUCAAAAUACAUUUAAUCAAAAGUAAGAGAAAAAAGAAACCCAAGAAAAUCCCAGAUUUCUUUUAAGUGCUGCCAAAAGCAGAGCUGAACAGGAAGCCCAUGUUGUUUCUUCAGUCAACAAGAUCAACCUUGCUGGGAAAUGAACAAGUG
RNAcentral lists this long non-coding RNA (318 nucleotides) under Macaca nemestrina (pig-tailed macaque). RNAcentral describes it as "lncRNA (ENSMNEG00000046200.1)". Lineage: Eukaryota; Metazoa; Chordata; Mammalia; Primates; Cercopithecidae. The record is from RNAcentral.